This 154-nucleotide small RNA is filed under the name Escherichia coli MS 200-1. RNAcentral's name for it is "SraJ RNA". It matches the Rfam family "GlmZ RNA activator of glmS mRNA", at positions 1 to 160 of the family's 214-position model. Rfam says of the family: This RNA was discovered in E. coli during a large scale screen. The sraJ gene was expressed in early logarithmic phase, but its level decreased with cell growth. Lineage: Bacteria; Pseudomonadati; Pseudomonadota; Gammaproteobacteria; Enterobacterales; Enterobacteriaceae. The record is from RNAcentral.
GUAGAUGCUCAUUCCAUCUCUUAUGUUCGCCUUAGUGCCUCAUAAACUCCGGAAUGACGCAGAGCCGUUUACGGUGCUUAUCGUCCACUGACAGAUGUCGCUUAUGCCUCAUCAGACACCAUGGACACAACGUUGAGUGAAGCACCCACUUGUU